UGCGCCAGCGAUGGCCGCUUGCGAGGUGCUGCAUGGUUGUCGUCAGCUCCGUGCCGUGAGGUGUCGGGUUAAGUCCCAUAACGAGCGCAACCCCUACUGCUAGUUGCCAGCGGGUCAUGCCGGGGACUCUAGCGGAACUGCCAGCGUAAGCUGCGAGGAAGGUGGGGAUGACGUCAAAUCAGCACGGCCCUUACGUCCAGGGCUACACACGUGUUACAAUGGCCGGCACAACGGGAAGCGAGUUCGCGAGGACGAGCGGAUCCCUUAAAGCCGGUCGCAGUUCGGAUUGAAGUCUGCAACUCGACUUCAUGAAGCUGGAAUCGCUAGUAAUCGUGGAUCAGCCAAGCCGCGGUGAAUACGUUCCCGGGCCUU
This 372-nucleotide ribosomal RNA is filed under the name uncultured Synergistaceae bacterium. RNAcentral describes it as "bacterial SSU rRNA". It matches the Rfam family "Bacterial small subunit ribosomal RNA", at positions 1012 to 1382 of the family's 1533-position model. Lineage: Bacteria; Thermotogati; Synergistota; Synergistia; Synergistales; Synergistaceae. The record is from RNAcentral.